CGCACAGGUACGGCCGCUCACCUGGGACAGGUGGGGACAGGUGAGUCACCAUCCUGCUCAGGUGUGUCCCGUGCCCCCCAGGUGUGUCCCUUGCUGCUCAGGUGUGUGCCCAGGUGUGUUUUCUCCUCCCCAGGUGUGUCUCAGGUGUGCCCAGGUGAGUCUCAGGUGAGUCUCAGGUGAGUCUCUUCCUCCCCAGGUGUGUCCCGUGCCCCCCAGGUGUGUCUCAGAUGUCCCCAGGUGUGUUUUCUCCUCCCCAGGUGUGUCCCAGGUGAGUCUCAGGUGUCUUUCCAUCACCCCAGGUGUGUCUCAGCUGUGCCCAGGUGUGUCUCAGGUGUCUUUCCAUCACCCCAGGUGUGUCUCAGCUGUGCCCAGGUGUGUCUCAGGUGAGUCUCUUCCUCCCCAGGUGUGUCCCGUGCCCCCCAGGUGUGUCUCAGGUGUCCCCAGGUGUGUUUUCUCCUCCCCAGGUGUGCCCAGGUGUGUUCCCAUCCCCCCAGGUGUGUCCCAGGU
Passer domesticus (house sparrow) is the source of this 507-nucleotide long non-coding RNA. RefSeq lists it as uncharacterized. NCBI's taxonomy places the organism in Eukaryota, Metazoa, Chordata, Aves, Passeriformes, Passeridae. The record is from RefSeq and is a predicted model, not a curated record. The transcript is spliced from 4 exons.